RNAcentral lists this transfer RNA (75 nucleotides) under Sphaerodactylus townsendi. Its description in RNAcentral is "tRNA-Ala". It matches the Rfam family "tRNA". Rfam says of the family: Transfer RNA (tRNA) molecules are approximately 80 nucleotides in length. Their secondary structure includes four short double-helical elements and three loops (D, anti-codon, and T loops). The record is from RNAcentral. Lineage: Eukaryota; Metazoa; Chordata; Lepidosauria; Squamata; Sphaerodactylidae.
GGAAGGGUUGUGGCUCAGUGAAAGAGCCUCUGCUUUGCAUGCCGGAAGUUCCGAGUUCAAUUCCUGGCUCCUCCA